RNAcentral lists this ribosomal RNA (1221 nucleotides) under metagenome. Its description in RNAcentral is "SSU rRNA". It matches the Rfam family "Eukaryotic small subunit ribosomal RNA", at positions 1 to 1188 of the family's 1831-position model. The record is from RNAcentral.
UCUGGUUGAUCCUGCCAGUAGUGAUAUGCUUGUUUCAAAGAUUAAGCCAUGCAUGUCUAAGUAUAAGCGAACUUAUACAGUGAAACUGCGGAUGGCUCAUUAAAACAGUUUGAAUUUAUUUGAUGAAUGUAUGAGAAUACUACUUGGAUAACCGUAGUAAUUCUAGAGCUAAUACAUGCAACGACGCCCGACCGUUUCACUACGGAAGGGCUGUAUUUAUUGGAUACCAAAACCAUCCUUCCCUCGGGAAGUUUUGUUUGAUGAUUCACAAUAACUGAUCGGAUCGCCACUGUGGUGGCGACAGGUCAUUCAACAUUCUGCCCUAUCAGCUUUCGAUGGUUGUGUAGUGGACAACCAUGGCCAUAACGGGUAACGGAGAAUCAGGGUUCGAUUCCGGAGAAGGAGCUUGAGAAUUGGCUACUACAUCUAAGGAAGGCAGCAGGCGCGCAAAUUACCCAAUCCCGAUUCGGGGAGGUAGUGACAAAAAAUAACAAUACCGGGCCUUUUUGGGCUUGGUAAUUGGAAUGAGGGAGAGUUAAACGGACCAUCGAGUAUCCAUUGGAGGGCAAGUCUGGUGCCAGCAGCUGCGGUAAUACCAGCUCCAAUAGCGUAUAUUAAAGUUGUUGCAGUUAAAAAGCUCGUAGUUGGACUUGUGUGCGCUGUCCGCGGGUGGCCUGCGCCCAAAAGGGCGUUUCGGUUCGGCCCCGGUGGCGCCUUGAAAUCUGCAGCUGGGGAGACGUUGGCCUUAACUGGUCGGCGACCGCACGCCGGCUGCUCGGUUACUGUGAGAAAAUUAGAGUGUUCAAGGCAGGCAUUGGGUGCAAUUGAAUACAUUAGCAUGGAAUAAUAAAAUAUGGCUCCUGCCGUAUUUUGUUGGUUUUGACUGGUGGGAGUAAUGAUUGAUAGGGACGGUUGGGGGUGCUAGUAUUGAGCGGCCAGAGGUGAAAUUCAUGGAUUCGCUCAAGACUAACUUAUGCGAAAGCAUUCACCAAGGACGUCCUCUUUAAUCAAGAACGAAAGUUGGGGGAUCGAAGACGAUCAGAUACCGUCGUAGUCUCAACCAUAAACUAUGUCGACUUGGGAUCGGCGGUAGUUUUUUCAUUAAGACACUGUCGGGACCACGGGAGAAAUCAAAGUGUCUGGACUCUGGGGGAAGUAUGGUCGCAAGGCUGAAACUUGAAGGAAUUGACGGAAGGGCACCACCAGGAGUGGAGCCUGCGG